UGAAGAAGUUGAGAAAUACCAGCAGCCUUUCUUCCGCCCUCAUGGAAGGACAUCAUCUGAGACAACACAGGUGACAUGGAGAGAGACAAGACAGGCAAAACAAUCCAUGAAUUGGAGGAGUACAGUGCCUCAUAAACAG
Molecule: long non-coding RNA, 139 nt
Filed under: Felis catus (domestic cat)
Lineage: Eukaryota; Metazoa; Chordata; Mammalia; Carnivora; Felidae
Description: lncRNA (ENSFCAG00000047613.1)
Source: RNAcentral